GUGGGCUUGUGGGGUGGCCGCAGGCAUGGACUUGGUCUUGCACUGGUAAACCUCCUCAGCCCCCGAGGGGGAGAGGUCGUGAGGGAACCCUUGACCGCUGGUCGUACUCAGCAGGAAUUUGCUCUCUGCAGGGUGGACUUGUGCCCCCAGUGAAAUGCCACCCCUGCGACUGGGCACUGGGGUGAGGGGAGUUCUCUUUUGUCCUGGAGUGGAGUUCCUGCCAAGCAGAACCAGGUGCGGGUAGGGAAGGGAGCAGGCCGCAGCCCAAAUGGGAGACUCAUCUCUCACCAAGAGGAGUCAAUUUUCAAGGAAAAGACAAAAAGAACCCUUCACUUUCAUUUCAAGGAAAAAUAAAGAAAGAACCCUUCACAGCCUCUGGAGGUCCCAGUGGCCAUCUGGCCUCUCGCCGCUCCGACGAAUGACUCUGAGACCUCCGUCAACGGUGCCUGUUUCCUCCCAGUGUUGGUCCAGCCCAAGAGUAUGGCUUGAGCAGGGUUGGCCCCAUGACGGCUGUAGAUAGAACCAAAACCCAGACUCUUGACCAGGACCCGCCAGGCACAGCCUCAUCACUACCGACGUGGAAAAGAGAACACAUUCGGGUGCGUCUCUCCAAAGCCUUCAGCUCGCACGUGGAGCAAGGUUUUCACAGGAAAUCCACGCCAAGCUUCAUGGCCUAGGUCUGUAGGGAAAUGUAUUACUUAUUUGAAAAAGAGAUUCUAGGAUAAGCCCAGGAAGUGACCUGGUGACCCUCGGCUGUGUCAGAACUGAGGGGCAGCUCGGGGCGUCUGUCCUGUUGCUUAGCCGGUGAAGCUCUGAGUAGGCCACGCCUUCUUCUCUAAAACAGGCCUUGGGAAGUGAACAGGGGCUCUGCACACUGCUGCCCCAGGACUGGCGGGCCUGGGUACGUUGGGCUUCCACUGCCUGCCCACCAGGUGGCGCCACGUGCACGGCAUUUCACACGCAAGGAGGCCCCAGCAGCUUGUAAGAUUCAGGCAGAUUCGCACCUUAGAAGAAAAGGCGGAACAGCAGCUGUGACUCGGGAAGAGGAGGGACAAUGGAAAACGACUUUUCUAUGAUGGCCACACAGCAACAAGGGGAUCUUUGCACACAGAUCCGUUCCAGUAGACAAGAAAGGUGUGGCCCAGCUAGGCCCCAUCACCAGAGCUAGGCCCCAUCACCCGGGGUCCGUAUGCAGCCCUGGCGGAGGUGACCCAGGAUGUCUCAGGACACUGGCUGAAGGUGGGCUUCCCUGCCACCCUCAGCAACCCCACGUCUGUCCAGGAGAUGUCCCCUACUAGUCACCAAUAAACUGACCACAACCGUGACCUGUCCUGUGCAUUGGAAGCACACAGCACACACGACACACACAUAAGUGUGCACAGGUGUGCACACACCACACAAACACAUAGAACAGCCACAGUGCAUACUUACAUGACAACACAACACCCAGUGCACACUCACAACACGUGAACUCACACCUGCAAUAUAUACAUGCUUAUGUACAUAAUAUACAUGUUAACACACUCAGGACACACAACACACUCAAAACACACAAUGCACACACACACCAUACCAGGGCUGUGUUGCUUACCACAUGAUCACCUGGAAAGUGGGGUGCAGCCUAAAGUGAAGACGGAGAGGGGGAUCCCCACCAGUGACCUGCCUCGGUCUCUGGUCGUCAUCUCUGACGUAGAGGGCGCAGAAGGGGCAAUUCAAGAAGCCUUUGAGAUUUUCCUCAUUCGCAGAAGUGACGGAGCUGAAGGACACGUGAACGUAAGAUGGAGUUCAAGUCAGCGGGCUCCCUGUGCGCCUGGAAGCGUGUGAGGCGAAGGCGGAGGCUCUCGGCUGCUGGCAUCAGGGUGCGCCUUUGCGAUUUCCUUUAGUACCUUUAAUCGCGGGGAGCGCUCUGGCGCCCUCUGGACCUGCAGAGUUCCUUCCCCUGGAGAUCAACCUUCCUUUUAACGUGUGUCCGGUGUUACGAGGGAGGUUAAGUGGCGUGUCCGGGUAUCCGGCUGGUGCAUCACUCUUCAUCCCAUGCCGUGUCUUGCUGGUCGGCUCCAGCAGAGCACCAGCCCUUGUGCGUCCCUCCUGUGUCAUGCAGAAUUUCAAAUCCGUAACACCGGAGCAAAACGAUGCAUUUCUUCUUUCCAGGUAAGGACGGGUGUUGGCUCUACACGUGCUAAUUAUAUCUUGGGUUGCUGGUUUCCCGGGGUGGACUGGAAAUUAAAGCCCUAAAAGCAGUGAAGUUCUAUGACCACACUCCCCCCAAAAGAAAAGUGAUUGAGAGGUGCAGAGGUCGUACAAGCCACCUUUUAAUUGUGCCAUUUGUCCCCACUGUGCUCUUUGAGAGAGGAAUCUGAACAAAUUUGCAUAUUGGUGGGCUCUCUGUGAGACUUACAAGAGACCUGCAUCGCAGCUGAGAGGACAUGGAAAUCACAGGAAAAAACUGGAAUACGUCCCACAGGACGACAGCUUUCGCCUCUGGCCCGCGUUUCCCAGCUUGGCUUCCUCAGGCAGGCAUGUGGGCAGAAGGACACCAGAAGAGGCGCUCAGAAAUGGCGGUCCCUCCGGAAGGCUUCCUGGUGCUCAGCGUCCCGUGAGCUUCCCUGGCAGGCCGCGGUCGGCCUGCGCCGUCACACUGGACAGUGUGGUGGACCUUUCUCAGCUCCUGGCGGUUGUCUCUGGUCAGGUCAGGACCCAAUGCCAAUGUCACGGUGCUCUUAAGUGGUGUCCUUUUCCGAGCUCUAGAAACCCCACAGGCCUCGUUUUCCCCAUCUACAAAGUGUCUCCUGAGCACAGCCCUGGCCUAUGCAGUACACGAGGACUGGAUGAGAAAAUGCACGCGAAUGGCAGGUGCAUCAGACCGUAGAGAUGUCACGCGUCAUGUCACUGAACGUCUGUCUGCCGGCCUCAGACCUUGCCACGGGCAGACCGCUGUGCACAGUGUUAGUCCUCCACACCUGUUUGCGCGUCUCUCCUGUGCUCAGAGGGGACACAGCCGAGGUUCUGGGCGACAGCUUCCCGGGCGUGUGACUUCACCUGCACCCACUGCAUCUCUUCCAUUUUGCAACACACUUACAUGUUCACUCCCACUCAGGCCAGCUGGGGGCACGGAGCGGGGUGGGCUGGCCACCGGCCAUCAAGGUCCACCCGCUGGCUCUGUUCUCGUGUGUCCUUUACUCAUGUUGCCGAAGUACUUCCUGGUCUUUCCUGUCCCUUACUUUGUAGGCCAAAACCUUGUUCCCCGCAUCUGUGAAUUCUCUGUACUGUUGAAGUGCAGAACUCAAGCAGCUCCGAUCAAUUGCCUGGAUGAAAGCAUAAUAAUGGAAAGUUCCCUGGCGAUGACAGUGCACAACUAAAGUCGGGUUCCUUCCCAGCGGAGAGCCUUUUAAAAUCCUUUAGCACGUAGGCGAGGGCCGUGUGCAAAAGUGAUUAUUUUUCUUUAGAUUUCCAAACCUGAUUCAUCAUCUGAAAAUUGCCAGGAUUAUUGUUCUGACUUACGAAAGCCUCCUUCUGGGUUCUUUAUUCCUGUAAGUUCAUGUAGGAGGCAGUUUCCCAGCAUUCCCCAAAACACCACUGCCAAAGACCUCUCCUGGGGAGUCCGAGGGGCGGGCGCCCUUGCUGCCGGUGCACGCCCGUCAUCUCGUCAGGGCUGUGUCUUGGUGGCUGUGAGGACCCUGCGGGAGGCGGGGGGUGUCACACGCAAGGCCAAGUUGUCUCAUGGAGUUUUGUACGUCAUCUCUAGUGCUCUCAGUGUGUUUGGCAGGAGUACGAGGUCGCAGGUCAGCCACGCCAUGGAAUCUGGUGUGGUUGUGGGUAGGCCUCCUCCCCGCUUCUCCCUCUUCAAGGGAAGUAGGAGUUGGCACCAUGAGAUGGUGGUGGCCACGUGAGUUUCAGUGAUGAGCUUUUGAACUGAGUAAACUUGAAUGGGAUUCUUCUCAUUUCUUCUAUGGUGAUCUUAAAAGUGAUCUUUUGUGUGCCGCAGGACACUGAACCAAGGAUUAAGGCCAGAAGCAAACUCUUGGAACUCAUAAUUUCUACCCUGGAACUUCAGGGGGUGCAGCAGGCAGCUUCUGAAAUGUGCCCAGUGUCCCCACCUGGUACUAGAAUCCUCAGGCAUCACGCUCUCCAGAGAGGGGCGGGGCUGGGACUGGUGUGUUCCAUACACACUCUUUCCACGAGUCCCUCGCUGCGAUUGGGGCGGCUCACAUGCCUGGUAUUGUGAGAAUUGUAACAGUUCUCUGUCAGCACUUUUACGACUCUUGGCUCUCUAUAUUUCCACAUAGGUAUUAGUUCACACACACACCCGGUGGGGGCUAUACAAUUGGGACUGCCUUGAAUCUGCACCGGUGUGGGAACAGCCACCAUCUUUACCACACUGGGUCUUCUGACCCCUGCCCGUAGGGGUUCCCUAAAUUUAUUCAAGUUUCUUUAAUGUCCGCCAAUACCGUUUCAUAGUGCUCACUGUGAGAUCAUUCCCACAUUUCAUUAAAUAUGUCCUUAGUAUUUGACAGUUGUUGAUGCUCUUGUUGCUUUUCCAUAUUGAACGGGGACACAGUGACAUCUUGAAGUGGUCCAUGCACUCUCCUCUCGAGCUGCAGAUCUUCUGGAUGUUCCCCAAGCCCCACGUGGCCGCCCUUCCCUUCCCAUCACUUCCAAACUUGUUCAGCUGGCACGGACUCCAGGACAAAGCUGGAUGUACAUGUGUCCUCUGCUUACCUCAGGACACAGCUUUCCGAGCCUCACCUUCACACACGGUAUUCACUGCAGGUUUUUGUGCCUGCCCUUUAUUAGCUUGGGAAAUUGCUUGUCUUUCCUUACUUUGUUAAGGGUUUGAUUCACAACAGGUGUUAUAGUUUAUCAAAAGUUUUUUUCUUCAUCUGUUAAAAUAAUUGCACAAUUUUCCUCCUGUUGUAUGUUAACAUGAGGCUUGCAUUGAUAGAUUUUUUAAAGUAUUAUUCCAAGUUUGCAAUCCUGGAAUAAACCUUCCUGGUCAGAAUGUAUUAUUCUCUAUGUACUGGAUUUCUCUAACUUUUAAUUUGUUUAGAAUUCUUGCAGCAAUGGCAGUCAGUAAGGGCAUUUGGCAUGUCGUUUUAUUUUCGAGUUCUUGUUCAGUUUUUAAAGUUGCAGCGUGUAUCGUUUUCUUCAAGGACUGUCGAUGUCAGACAAACUGGCGCACCAUUGUCAGAAGCAGGAAGCCAGUGGCUAACAUCUCACAUCUUCCAAUAAAUCAAGAGUGACCCCCUGCUGGAAGAAAUAAGCACACCCAUCUGAGGAUGGGUCUCUUUAUCCUUCAGAUCUCGUUUAAAGGGAGGAUUUAGGGCAUAACUUCCCAUCUUACAUCUCGGAAAAUAGCUCCAUUAUUGAGGUGUCAUUUUUAUUCUAAUAAUUGUAACUACUUUUUAUCCCUGUGCCCAUCUCAGUCAACAUACGGAAGUCAGCAGGACAUUGGCUCCUAACCUUCCCGUGUUCACAAACAUUAUCAAAAGCACCUGCCACAUCGCAAGGCCAAGGGUCUGGCUUUGUCUUCCUCUUGAGUUUGUCAGACUGAAAACACUCCUUACUGAGGUUCAGCGUUCCGUGACGCCUGCUCCAUUGUUAUAAAGGGUGUCUCUGGAGCAGAUGGAGCAGAAGGCCCAGGUGGGUAGCCUGGGGCACGUGCUCGGCAGGGAAACGCUAACGAGGAACUCGGAGGCCGCUGGCACCAGCCAAGGCACAGAGGAGGGAAGGGAGGGGACAGCGUGCUGCUCUCGGGCUCUGGCAGAUGCUCCAGAGGUGCAGUGCUUUGGACCCAGGUCGUCAUGCAGGAUUCCACUCCAUUAACAUUUUGGAGCAAGAAUUUUCUCAUGUAACACAGUGUAUCAAAGCCCAAAGUGUAACUGAGAAUCGAGACAAUAUGGUACUAUUGUUCCAAGCCCGUUCUCUCUUCUUCUAAUUAUGCAGCAAAAGCAUGCAUUUUUCACCAGAAGCAGAAGACCGCCAGGGUCCAGACAAUGCCAGCAUCGAUUUCGGUGACCUGUGUCCACCCGUGUCCCUGUGGGCCGGGUGUGGUGACGAUGGCCUGUCUGUCAAUGCAGAGCACAGUCUCUCCAGGUCAUCUGCACAAUCUUCUCCAAUGGUUUAAGGUUGCCUGAAAGCUGCUGUCUGCGUCUCCUUGCUCAGGUGACACUCGUUCAAUGCCAAGCUCUGCCUAGCUGGGAAUCACUCCCCGUGUUUAAAAAUGAAAACAAAUUAGCACCAGGCUGUGGCCCAGCCCGAGCGUUGGAGGAGAGAAAGCCGGCGACUUCACACCAUCGUGAGGAUUGAUUAACUUUCUGCUCCAGCCACACCCUUGGCGGGCAGACUGGCUGCUUGCUGAGGGCAGGUGACGCAGGAAGUGUGCCUGGCACAGACAGAGGCUCUCAGCAACACACCCGCCUUUGAAACCAGCAAAUUUGUCUUCGCUGUUUUAAUUCACAUUGAGUCAAAAAUCAGAACAGAAACAAAAACCAGCUGGGAUUCCACGCUGAGCCUCCUACCACGUUCUUUUGGUGAUUGGGGAAGCUCAGACACAGAGGCCGCCAUCAUUUACUGAUGUGCUCCGUCCGACACUGUGACCUCCUCCAGUGGACCAGGACAUGCCUUGCCAGUAAUUGCUUGGCUCCAGAGAAGGGUGAGCUUGGACAGCUGGCAGUGCUGGCCAUCUGACUGUCCCUUGCACAGCCCCAGGAUCUUGUGAAGAUGGAAAAUGACAUCACUCUCCAGUGGCUUCAGCCAAACGGAAUCAAGAAGGAGAGGCAGUGGUCUGGGGAGAUAGCUCAGUUGGUAGAGUGCCUGCCUUGCAAGCACAAGGCCCUGGGUUCAAUCCCCAGCACCAAAAAAAAAAAAAA
Sciurus carolinensis (gray squirrel) is the source of this 6869-nucleotide long non-coding RNA. RefSeq lists it as uncharacterized. Lineage: Eukaryota; Metazoa; Chordata; Mammalia; Rodentia; Sciuridae. The transcript is spliced from 3 exons. The record is from RefSeq and is a predicted model, not a curated record.